RNAcentral lists this transfer RNA (67 nucleotides) under Acanthephyra sp. RNAcentral's name for it is "tRNA-Ile". Lineage: Eukaryota; Metazoa; Arthropoda; Malacostraca; Decapoda; Oplophoridae. The record is from RNAcentral.
AAUAACGUGCUUGACAAAAAGGUCGUCUUGAUAGGGCGAAUCAUGGGAGGUGGCCUCCCCGUUAUUA